This 487-nucleotide ribosomal RNA is filed under the name uncultured Glomeromycotina. RNAcentral's name for it is "SSU rRNA". It matches the Rfam family "Eukaryotic small subunit ribosomal RNA", at positions 596 to 1077 of the family's 1831-position model. The record is from RNAcentral. Lineage: Eukaryota; Fungi; Glomeromycota.
AGCGUAUAUUAAAGUUGUUGCAGUUAAAAAGCUCGUAGUUGAAUUUCGGGAUUGGCGCAUCGGUCGUGCCUCACGGGGUAUGAACUGGUGCAGUCAAUUUCUCACCUUCUGGAGAACCGCGAUGUCCUUAAUUGGAUGCCGCGGGGAACCAGGACCUUUACUUUGAAGAAAUUAGAGUGUUUAAAGCAGGCAUUUUUGCUUGAAUACAUUAGCAUGGAAUAAUAAAAUAGGACGGCAUGGUUCUAUUUUGUUGGUUUCUAGGACCACCGUAAUGAUUAAUAGGGAUAGUUGGGGGCAUUAGUAUUCAAUUGUCAGAGGUGAAAUUCUUGGAUUUAUUGAAGACUAACUACUGCGAAAGCAUUUGCCAAGGAUGUUUUCAUUAAUCAAGAACGAAAGUUAGGGGAUCGAAGACGAUCAGAUACCGUCGUAGUCUUAACCAUAAACUAUGCCGACUAGGAAUCAGACGAUGUUAAUUUUUUAAUGACUC